GUCAGCAUAAAUAAAUCAACCAAAUAAUAUUUUCUAUUUAUAACCGAAAUUGGUUAAUUUAAAUUUUAAAUGCUAUUUAACUGAUAAUAACAAUGGAACUACGAUUCAUUGGAAAAUAUAUUCAUCGAAUAAAUGUGAUUAACAUAAAUAUUUAAUUAUAUAUGUUUAUUAAAUUUUUAUUAAAUUUUUAUAGGUAUAUAUACAAAAUAUUGGGCCACACAUUACGUACCUUUUCGCCAGUUAACCGUUUAAUAGCGAAAUGAAGGUUCGCUUAAAUAUUUCGGAUUACAUUUAAGCUUUUCCGCUCAAACCGGUCAAUCCGUUGAACGGAUAAAUUCUGUCAAUAAGCCGCAAUGAUCAAUGAAGUUUUUUUGUUAAAUAUUUCCAAGACGAUCAACGAAGAUUUAUUAUUCAUCGGCAAAUCAAUCGUGUUUGCUACGCUUAAUUUAAUUUAUCAGUAAACUGUAUUUUAAUGUUAUAGACUUGAAAGUAAUUAACAUGACAGAGCGAUAAGGACAAUUUUCAAAAAGAUAGUGUUUUAAAACACAUUUUGCCUGGAGUAAGCUGCACAUUUUUAUCCCUUCACUUUCACAAAUCGUAUAUCGAAAUUCCGACAAUUUUCCAAAUAGAUGCCAAUAAAUAUAUAUUUGUUUAAAUAUCAGCUAAACAUAACAUACUUAAAUGGCGGUAAUGUGUGAUUUGCACCUGAACGCACAAUGAACGUUCAUAACAUCAACGGAAGUUUCCAGAACGAUAACCAAAAAGUAUAGUUCUCGAAUAUCUCGAUUAUAUAUUUUUGGAAUAUUUAACAAACGCUUGUUAAUCCGCAAUAUCAUCGAGACAAAAUGAAACAAAGAUCUAAAGCAAGAUUUUACAAAUCGUUGAACAUCAAACUUGCACCGAUAUUGAUGAAGGAUGGGCUAUAAUACUUUAAAAUUUCUAACCUCAAAGAAAAAAAAGAAAAAAAGAAAAGGGAACCUAUACACGUAGCUGUCACCGCUAAAAACAAGGCAGAGAGUCUUCCGGAAUAGAUGCGUGGAGCAAUACGAUUUCAACUUAAACGUAAGGAACGCCAUUUAUAAAUUUAGUCAUAGCCAAGAUUACAACGAUCUCUUACCUCAAUCAAGCAAUUUUGGCCAAAUUUCUAACAUACAAACUGUCUUUAGCUGAAUCUGAUGAUUAAUUAUUCUUGAAUAUUGCGUUAGGGAAUACCCGAGAACAACUCAAAAUAAUGACAUGGAAAGCUCCGAGGAAAAUUUUUAUGAAGAAAGUAAUGGCGUCGUCCUCCAAAGUUUUCAUCCAUGUAGAUAUUUUAAAACCUGGUGUAGAAGACUACAAAAAGGUGAAAAGAAUAUUAAACGGUAGUAGAGGCUAAAAGGAGCACAAACCGACCAAAGAAAAGAUUGUUGGGUAAACAGUCUUUACGGAGGCAUAAAAAAAAGUACAAUACUUUUGGAUAGCUAUAAACUUAUAGAUUUGAUACGCUUGGCUAUCACAGGCUAACUAAAUCUGAAAGAUUGCUACCCAAACCAAGGAUGGUUCUAUCAAUUUAGAACCUCCUCUAAAGUAUGGUCAGAUCAACAAACUGAAUUUUAAACAUUUACUCCUUUCGAAUGCAAAAAUAUUCUAACGGAACGUAAGCAAUUGAUAAAACUGCAAGCGAUCAAAGAUCGUAAUUACAUAAUCAGUGAGGGCAAUACUAUAAUCGAAAUGCCAUCACCUGUUAGUUUAAUAAUCCAGUACAUAUUGAUUGUCAUUGGGUUUACGAGCACAUGGAAAAGGACAAAUUUCGUAUUUAGCUAUCGGGAUUUAAUACGUCUAGGAAUUCAUGAAUUUACCAUAUAUUGAACCAGCUAAGAGAUCGAUGGAUGAUUUCCUAAGUUUUAUCAAAAUAUAACGAUCUUGCGAAAAAUUCUGAUAUUACAAAUACGAUCUUGCAUCGUUUACGGUUACAUGGAAAUAUUACAAAAAAAAAGAUGAGUAAGAGACAUACUCUACGUAGAAUUCAUAAACCCAAGCCGAAUAUUGAGCAUUUCAGGAACUCGGAUAAAGCAAGCAUGAGCAAAUUUCAAGAACCAAAAUAUAUUUAAGCUUAGCUAAGCCUAUUGGAAGCAAAGAUUAUGAUGAUGCUGUGUACCUGAAAAUGUCUGCAUAUAUUGUAUACAAAACGAGGCAAAGCAGACGACAAAGAAAUCCUAUGUCUAUUACUUUAUUAUUUCAAAGAUUUAUAUGAAUUAAACGACUUUCAUCCUAAACGAAGUAGGAUUCAAAAUUUCUUCACUUUCUAUAAAGUAUUGGGAAGCAAUCUAGUGACUUUUCGCUGAUCUUUACAAUCCACAGGUAUCCGAAGAUAUUGCCUUAAAGAUAAAGAAAAUUUCCGAGAGAUUAAAACUAAAUUCGUUUCUUGAGGAGAAACGAUUCCAGAUGAGCAUACAAUUUCACACUCAAUGCUAUGCAGUUAGAAAACCUUAACAAGCAAAUGUAUUAAGAACAUAAAGCACUUUGAUAACAGCGGCUACUUUCAUAAUUCAUAAGAGAUAAGUGAUUUACUUUAGUAUAAUUUUGCAGAAAAUAUUUGUUAGAAUAUAAGAAAAUAUUUCUCCUGGAUAUGGAUAAUGAUAACAUAAAUGAAGGAUAAUUUGGGAAACUCUCUGAGAUUAAAUAACUUCGAGAAAAUCAAAGCGGGACGAACACUACCACUAAUACUACCCCAACUACGCUCUUCAAACACUUUGCAUUUCGGCGGAACGAGAAUCAGAAUAAGCAAAAGAAUUAUAUUCGAUCGUGACCGAACCUUCUCUAUAUCCAUUACUAUCCCAUCUAUUAUCCCAAGCAAGACAAAAAAGGUAGAAGAACCUAAUUUUUUUUCUUACUCUCUAAUAUGGAGUAGGUGCGGCCGAUUUUUCCUGUUUUAAAGCUAACAGGGUUUGCCGUAUUGUAAAUGUGCCGGGCGAACAAUUCUAAUGAGAGAACGUGCGAACGAAAAUCGGAAUUUCUGAUUGAAAUUGCGACCAUUCUAGAAACAAUCGCAUAUGCGUUCCAUGUUGAGUUACGGCAGUCUUUUUAUGGUAAAAUAGCCUCAGCCAUUUGGGAUAAGUAAUGUCCCGUUCAUUAUUAGUUCAAUAUUUUGAAACAAAUUUUAUAAAAUAGCAAAAUUAUAUCAAAACUAUUCCCAAACAAAAAACAUAACAGAAAAAGAAGACGAAGAAGAAGAACAAAAGAAUAGAAAUAUGAAAUUUGCCGAAAUCAAUUAAGUGACUCUUAAACACCUCCUUCAACGGACAACUUUCUUCAGAUUGAAUUUAGUUUAAAAAUUGGUGUCCCAUGUGUGUACAAUUCGCCAUUAAUUUACUGAAAUUAAGUCAUUAUCGCAAUAGUAAGAAAGUUUUGAAAGUUUCGCAAAGAUCGCGAAAAACGCGAUUGAAUUCUUUGGAUUCGUCGAUAGAUUUAGAUAAGAAAGUAAAAGACGAGAAAAUAAUUAGAGUAGAAUAGUUUAGAAAUUUCCCCAAGAUCCGAAAGACACGA
Glossina fuscipes is the source of this 3525-nucleotide long non-coding RNA. RefSeq lists it as uncharacterized. Lineage: Eukaryota; Metazoa; Arthropoda; Insecta; Diptera; Glossinidae. The transcript has 3 exons. The record is from RefSeq and is a predicted model, not a curated record.